This 453-nucleotide ribosomal RNA is filed under the name uncultured bacterium. RNAcentral's name for it is "bacterial SSU rRNA". It matches the Rfam family "Bacterial small subunit ribosomal RNA", at positions 9 to 507 of the family's 1533-position model. The record is from RNAcentral.
CGAGUUUGAUCAUGGCUCAGAACGAACGCUGGCGGCAGGCCUAACACAUGCAAGUCGAGCGAGGUAGCAAUACCUAGCGGCGGACGGGUUAGUAACGCGUGGGAACGUGCCCAAAGGUACGGAAUAGCCUCGGGAAACUGAGAGUAAUACCGUAUGUGCCCUUCGGGGGAAAGAUUUAUCGCCUUUGGAUCGGCCCGCGUUGGAUUAGGUAGUUGGUGGGGUAAUGGCCUACCAAGCCGACGAUCCAUAGCUGGUUUGAGAGGAUGAUCAGCAACACUGGGACUGAGACACGGCCCAGACUCCUACGGGAGGCAGCAGUGGGGAAUCUUAGACAAUGGGGGAAACCCUGAUCUAGCCAUGCCGCGUGAGCGAUGAAGGCCUUAGGGUUGUAAAGCUCUUUCAGCUGGGAAGAUAAUGACGGUACCAGCAGAAGAAGCCCCGGCUAACUCCGUG